UUUGAUGGCGACCGGCGCACGGGUGAGUAACACGUAUCCAACCUGCCGAUGACUCGGGGAUAGCCUUUCGAAAGAAAGAUUAAUACCCGAUGGCAUAGUUCUUCCGCAUGGUAGAACUAUUAAAGAAUUUCGGUCAUCGAUGGGGAUGCGUUCCAUUAGCUUGUUGGCGGGGUAACGGCCCNCCAAGGCAUCGAUGGAUAGGGGUUCUGAGAGGAAGGUCCCCCACAUUGGAACUGAGACACGGUCCAAACUCCUACGGGAGGCAGCAG
Molecule: ribosomal RNA, 269 nt
Filed under: uncultured bacterium
Lineage: Bacteria
Description: partial 16S ribosomal RNA
Rfam family: Bacterial small subunit ribosomal RNA
Source: RNAcentral